This 440-nucleotide ribosomal RNA is filed under the name uncultured bacterium. RNAcentral describes it as "bacterial SSU rRNA". It matches the Rfam family "Bacterial small subunit ribosomal RNA", at positions 338 to 768 of the family's 1533-position model. The record is from RNAcentral.
CCUACGGGUGGCUGCAGUCGAGGAUCUUCGGCAAUGGGCGCAAGCCUGACCGAGCGACGCCGCGUGCGGGAUGAAGGCCCUCGGGUUGUAAACCGCUGUCAGGGGGGAUGAAGGGCCGGUGGGUUCUCCCACCGGUCACGCUUGACACAUCCCCAGAGGAAGCACGGGCUAAGUUCGUGCCAGCAGCCGCGGUAAGACGAACCGUGCGAACGUUGUUCGGAUUCACUGGGCUUAAAGGGCGCGUAGGCGGCACCGUCAGUCCGGGGUGAAAUCUUUCGGCUCAACCGGAAAAGGGCCUCGGAGACGGCGGUGCUCGAAGGGGGCAGGGGCAGCCGGAACGGCCCGUGGAGCGGUGAAAUGCGUUGAGACGGGCAGGAACGCCGGUGGCGAAAGCGGGUUGCUGGGCCCCCCUUGACGCUGAGGCGCGAAAGCCAGGGGAG